RNAcentral lists this ribosomal RNA (113 nucleotides) under uncultured bacterium. RNAcentral's name for it is "partial 16S ribosomal RNA". It matches the Rfam family "Bacterial small subunit ribosomal RNA", at positions 1360 to 1482 of the family's 1533-position model. The record is from RNAcentral.
CGGUGAAUACGUUCCCGGACCUUGCACACACCGCCCGUCAAGCCAUGGAAGCUGGGUGUACCUAAAGUCGGUAACCGCAAGAGCCGCCUAGGGUAAAACUAGUAACUGGGGCU